This 451-nucleotide ribosomal RNA is filed under the name uncultured bacterium. RNAcentral describes it as "partial 16S ribosomal RNA". It matches the Rfam family "Bacterial small subunit ribosomal RNA", at positions 354 to 796 of the family's 1533-position model. The record is from RNAcentral.
GUGGGGAAUAUUGGACAAUGGGGGGAACCCUGAUCCAGCCAUGCCGCGUGUGUGAAGAAGGCCUUUUGGUUGUAAAGCACUUUAAGCGAGGAGGAGGCUACCGAGAUUAAUACUCUUGGAUAGUGGACGUUACUCGCAGAAUAAGCACCGGCUAACUCUGUGCCAGCAGCCGCGGUAAUACAGAGGGUGCGAGCGUUAAUCGGAUUUACUGGGCGUAAAGCGUGCGUAGGCGGCUUUUUAAGUCGGAUGUGAAAUCCCCGAGCUUAACUUGGGAAUUGCAUUCGAUACUGGGAAGCUAGAGUAUGGGAGAUGAUGGUAGAAUUCCAGGUGUAGCGGUGAAAUGCGUAGAGAUCUGGAGGAAUACCGAUGGCGAAGGCAGCCAUCUGGCCUAAUACUGACGCUGAGGUACGAAAGCAUGGGGAGCAAACAGGAUUAGAAACCCCUGUAGUCC